ACGGAACUCUGGAGAGACCAUUUUGGCACCGAAGGGGCAAGGUAGUCCUGCUUGAAAAAAGUAGAGCUACUGAAACUCUCAGGUAAAAGGACAGAGCGUUG
Molecule: non-coding RNA, 101 nt
Filed under: Streptococcus suis
Lineage: Bacteria; Bacillati; Bacillota; Bacilli; Lactobacillales; Streptococcaceae
Description: Glycine riboswitch
Rfam family: Glycine riboswitch aptamer
About the family: This family represents the bacterial glycine riboswitch. Glycine riboswitches usually consist of two metabolite-binding aptamers domains with similar structures in tandem.
Source: RNAcentral